Molecule: long non-coding RNA, 1540 nt
Organism: Syzygium oleosum
Lineage: Eukaryota; Viridiplantae; Streptophyta; Magnoliopsida; Myrtales; Myrtaceae
Exons: 2
Source: RefSeq, a predicted model, not a curated record
AAAACGCAGAGCCCAUAAACUGGGCUUCCUUACAAAGUAAAUCCAACAAGAUUUGGGGAGGGGAAGAAAUCCAGUCCCUCGGCAGAGUUUUGUGGCGCUGAGCUUUUGCGGCCCAGUCCGCUAUGGAGUUGGCUUCACGAUGGCAAUGGGUGAUACGCAACUGUGAGAAGCUAGAGGACAGAUCAAGGCAUUGGGAGAUAAUUGCACGUGCAUCCCAUGGAAUAAGGUCUGAGUUUUCCAUAGCUUUAACCAAAGUCAGAUUGUCUGACUCUAACUCAAGGGGAUAGUGUCUUCGAGGGACUAAGAACUUUAGGGUUUCCAAGAGAGCCACAAAUUCCGCUUGAGAGGCUGAGGAGACAUGGAUUUGUUUUGCAAAGCCAUCCACAAGUGUCCCUUAUGAGUUUCGAACGAUGCAAGCGAUUGCGCCUUCCAUGGAACUUUCGACGAAGGAUCCAUCAAUAUUGACCUUUAAAGAUCCACCCUUUGGGGGCUUUCCAGGUCUCAAAAGAGGUGGGUGCAUCAAGGUCCGAUUUUUGCUUUGAAUUCCAUCUCCUGUAAUUGCUGAGAGAAGUUAGAGCUCCUUGUAGUGCUUGAACUGGGUCUGGGAGCUUCUUUCGAAAGAUAAAGGUGUUGCGGGAAGUCCAAAUAAACCAGAAGAUGGUUGCAACAAGUUCCAAAGAAGGGAUGGUUGAGCCCAUAUUUCUCUUGUCCAGGGACAAAGAAGAAGGAGAUGCUCUGUGGAUUUCACCUGGUCUUUACACAGUGAGCAUAAUGGAUCUGAUACUAUUUUUCGCUUGUGUAAGUUCUCCAUUGUGGGUAGACUAUUCUGACAUGCAUUCCAUAGAAAGAACUUAAUUUUAGGGAUGGUUUCCAUUUUCCAAAUCUUAUUCCACAAAGCUCGAGGAGCCGAGAAAGAUGAAGAGGCCUUUGGAGCUUUUCGGAUAUUCUCAGUAAGUCUUAUGUUGUUGUAGCCACUCUUUACUGAGUAAUUUCCUGUUGAUGAAUAUGUCCACACCAGUUUGUCUUGAAUGGAGUGAGUGCUUAGAGGAAUAGCGAGAAUUUCUUUCACUAUUUCUUCUUCGAACAUAUUUCAAAGAAGAGGUUCAUUCUAGGAAUUUUCUUCGUUGUUUAUAAGCUCUACUACCUUUUGUGGGUCAUUUUCAUUCGAUGGCCCUCCAAUUACUCCUCUUUUCAACCAUCUGUCCUCUCUGAUACUGAUUGCUUCUCCUGUUCCCAUUGUCCACAUUGAAGAUUCUGAGAUUGAGUCUCUUCCCAAUAGUAAGCUUCGCCAGCCCCAAGAGGGUCUAUGCCCUUUCCCAGCAUGCCAGAAACUCUUGUUUGGGACGUAAAUCCCUUUAAAAAUUUGACCCCAUAAAGAGGACGAUUGAUGCAUUAAUCUCCAUGCUUGCUUUCCUAAGAAAGCCUUGUUAACAGAAAGUAAAUCUUUGAAUCCCAUGCCUCCAUUGUCUUUCCUUUGUUUCAAGAAUUCCCAACUCUUCCAAUGAAUUCCAGAGUGAGAUUCUCUGUUUUUCCACCAAAA